AGCAAAUAUAGCGUCACGCUAUUUGAACAUCACAACUUUUGCGUUUCUCUCUGCAAGAUAAACAUUUUUAAUGUUCCCGCUACAACCAAACUGCCAAAGCCACUCUAAGCAACUAGCUAUGUACAAAUACACUAACUCAUUUUUUACGGUCACAACCCUUGAGGAAAAUCUCCUUGGGCCUAAAGCUUUAGUUGUUAUUCUUAUUCACAAACUUACUCCA
This 220-nucleotide unclassified non-coding RNA is filed under the name Hevea brasiliensis (rubber tree). The record is from RNAcentral. Lineage: Eukaryota; Viridiplantae; Streptophyta; Magnoliopsida; Malpighiales; Euphorbiaceae.